Molecule: ribosomal RNA, 493 nt
Filed under: Mycetoma sp. UPOL ZL0139
Lineage: Eukaryota; Metazoa; Arthropoda; Insecta; Coleoptera; Tetratomidae
Description: partial 16S ribosomal RNA
Rfam family: Bacterial large subunit ribosomal RNA
Source: RNAcentral
UUUAAAGUCUGACCUGCCCAAUGAAUUUUAAAUGGCCGCAGUAUUUUGACUGUGCAAAGGUAGCAUAAUCAUUAGUUUUUUAAAUGGAAGCUGGAAUGAAGGGUUUGAUGAAAAAAUAACUGUCUCAAAUUAAUAUAUAUAUAACUUUAUUUUUAAGUUAAAAAGCUUAAAUUUUUUAAAAAGACGAGAAGACCCUAUAGAGUUUUAUAAUUUGUAUAAAUGAUAUUUUUGGUAUUUAAAUAUUUUAUUUAUAUAAAUUAUUUUAUUGGGGUGAUAAUAAAAUUUAAUAAACUUUUAAUUUUUUAAACCAUUAAUAUAUGAUUAAUUGAUCCUAUUUUUUAGAUUAUAAGAAAAAAUUACCUUAGGGAUAACAGCGUAAUUUUUUUUUAGAGUUCUAAUCGAAAAAAAAGAUUGCGACCUCGAUGUUGGAUUAAAAUAUAAAUUUGGUGUAGAAGCUAAAUUUUUAGGUCUGUUCGACCUUUAAAAUUUUACA